CUAACAAGGAUUCCCCUAGUAACGGCGAGUGAAGCGGGAAGAGCUCAAAUUUGUAAUCUGGCCGUUUUGCGGUCCGAGUUGUAACCUAAAGAAACGUUUUCUGUGCCCAGCGUCGCAUGAGUCUGUUGGAAUAUAGCGUCAAAGAGGGUGAGAACCCCGUUUAUGGUGACUGUCUGGUGUGCUCUGUGAUACGUUUUCUAAGAGUCGAGUUGUUUGGGAAUGCAGCUCUAAUUGGGUGGUAAAUUCCAUCUAAAGCUAAAUAUUGACGAGAGACCGAUAGCGAACAAGUACCGUGAGGGAAAGAUGAAAAGCACUUUGGAAAGAGAGUUAACAGUACGUGAAAUUGUUAUAAGGGAAACGCUUGAAGUCAGACAUGCUCCGUGCCUCCAGCCGCAAGGUGUAUCGGUACGGAUCAGGCUAGAGUCUGUUCUUGGGGUCGGAUAAGGGUCUUUGGAAUGUGGCUGGUCCGCCAGUGUUAUAGCCUUUGACUUGAUACGGCUUUGGGGACAGAGGACUGCAGCGCGCCUUUUGGCAUUGGCUUCGGCCUUUUCCGCGCUAAGGAUUCUGGCUUAAUGGCUUUAAGCGACCCGUCUUGAAACACGGACCAAGGAGUCUAACAUGCCUGCGAGUGUUUGGGUGUAAAACCCGUGCGCGUAAUGAAAGUGAAUGUAGGUGGGAUCCGCAAGGUGCACCAUCGACCGGUCUGGAUUUUCUAUGAUGGAUCUGAGUAAGAGCAUGUAUGUUGGGACCCGAAAGAUGGUGAACUAUGCCUGAAUAGGGUGAAGCCAGAGGAAACUCUGGUGGAGGCUCGUAGCGGUUCUGACGUGCAAAUCGAUCGUCAAAUUUGGGUAUAGGGGCGAAAGACUAAUCGAACC
This 875-nucleotide ribosomal RNA is filed under the name Atractiella sp. 'La Amistade'. Its description in RNAcentral is "LSU rRNA". It matches the Rfam family "Eukaryotic large subunit ribosomal RNA", at positions 65 to 941 of the family's 3401-position model. The record is from RNAcentral. Lineage: Eukaryota; Fungi; Basidiomycota; Atractiellomycetes; Atractiellales; Hoehnelomycetaceae.